CUUCGGCGGGACCCAGGUGAGAAAGGCCCACCUGUGUCCUGGUUGAGGGUCUCCAGGGUUCUUUGGGGCCCGAGGCCAAUGGUGGCAGAGUCUACAUAGAACUAUGCUUCGUGGUGUUCUGGGGAAAACCUUUCGACUUGUUGGCUAUACUAUUCAAUAUGGCUGUAUAGCUCAUUGUGCUUUUGAAUACGUUGGUGGUGUUGUCAUGUGUUCUGGACCAUCAAUGGAGCCUACAAUUCAAAAUUCAGAUAUUGUCUUUGCAGAAAAUCUUAGUCGACAUUUUUAUGGUAUCCAAAGAGGUGACAUUGUGAUUGCAAAAAGCCCAAGUGAUCCAAAAUCAAAUAUUUGUAAAAGAGUAAUUGGUUUGGAAGGAGACAAAAUCCUCACCACUAGUCCAUCAGAUUUCUUUAAAAGCCAUAGUUAUACUAUAGUGAUAAAAACCUGUGCUACACAUCCAUUUCUCAGCAACGGCUCCUAGGAUAAUCA
Molecule: small RNA, 486 nt
Filed under: Pongo abelii (Sumatran orangutan)
Lineage: Eukaryota; Metazoa; Chordata; Mammalia; Primates; Hominidae
Description: processed transcript
Source: RNAcentral